RNA transcript from Propithecus coquereli (Coquerel's sifaka), 821 nucleotides. It is a transcript of the gene named 40S ribosomal protein S2 pseudogene, with no coding region annotated. The record is from RefSeq and is a predicted model, not a curated record. The transcript has a single exon. Lineage: Eukaryota; Metazoa; Chordata; Mammalia; Primates; Indriidae.
GGUCGUGGCCUUGGUCCGGCCAGCCGAGGCCCUGCAGCUCACGGAGACAAGGCCGAGGACAAGGCGCGAGUGCCCGUCACCAAGCUGGGCCACCUGGUUAAGAACAUGAAGAUCAAGUCCCUGGAGGAGAUCUGUCUCUUCUCCUUGUCCAUCGAGGAGUCCGAGAUCAUUGACCUUUUCCUGGCGGCAUCUCUCAAAGGUGAGGUUUUGAAGAUUAUGCCGGUGCAAAAGCAGACCCGUGCUGGCCAGGGACGGGAUUCAAGGCGUUUGUUGCCAUUGGGGACUACAAUCGGGGCCACGCAGGUUUGGGUGUUAAGUGACCCAAGGACGUAGCCACUGCCAUCCGAGGGGCCAUCAUCCUGACCAAGCUCUCCAUUGUCCCUGUGCACAGAGGAUACGGGGGGACUAAGAUCAGCAAGCCCCACACCGUCCCUUCCAAGGUCACAGGCCUCCGUGGCUCUGCGCUGGUACGUCCCAUGCCUGCCCCUAGGGGAACUGUCAUCUCUCAGCCCCUGGGCCCAAGAAGUUGCUGAUGACCGCUAGUUAUGGAUACCUGCUACACCUCAGCCAGGGGCUGCACUGCCACCCUGGGCAACUUCGCAACGGCCACUUUGGAUGCCAUCUCCAAGACCUACAGCUAUCUGACUCCUGACCUCUGGAAAGAGACGGUAUUCACCAAGUCUCCCUACCAGAAAUUCACUGACCGUCUUGUCAAGACCCACACCAGAGUCUCUGUGCAGGGGACCCAGGCCCCAGCUGUGGAUACAACAUAGCAUUUUUAUACAAGAACAAUCAAGUGAAUUAAGCCUGUUAAAAAAAAA